Molecule: transfer RNA, 65 nt
Filed under: Neoperla ignacsiveci
Lineage: Eukaryota; Metazoa; Arthropoda; Insecta; Plecoptera; Perlidae
Description: tRNA-Arg
Source: RNAcentral
AAGUAAGAAGCGAUUAAUUGCAUUCAGUUUCGACCUGACCCUAGAUACCUUCAUAUCCUUACUUU